CUCCUCUCAGGGUUACACCUGGAGAGUUUCCAGUACUCUACCAGUCUCAACUAUAGGAGGGAGAGUCAAGCAGAGGCAUACCCAUUCCAUUCCUAGCUUGGGCAAUGGCUAGCAGGUGGAAGGCAAUCUUUUACAAGU
Molecule: small nucleolar RNA, 138 nt
Filed under: Ornithorhynchus anatinus (platypus)
Lineage: Eukaryota; Metazoa; Chordata; Mammalia; Monotremata; Ornithorhynchidae
Source: RNAcentral